This 1362-nucleotide ribosomal RNA is filed under the name metagenome. Its description in RNAcentral is "bacterial SSU rRNA". It matches the Rfam family "Archaeal small subunit ribosomal RNA". The record is from RNAcentral.
UGCAAGUCUCUCCGCAAGGAGGGCAAACUGCUCAGAAACACGUAGUUAACAUACCCUAAGGUCCGGGAUAUCUUCGGGAAACUGAGGUUAAGACCGGGCAUGAGAUGCAGGCUGCAAUGCGGUAUCUCUGAAAGGCAACGCCUUAGGACUGGACUGCGGUUGAUUAGGUAGUUGUUGAGGUAAAAGCUCAACAAGCCUACGAUCAAUAAGAGCCUUUAACGGGGGAGCUCUGAGAAGAACCCUGAGACACAGGUUCUAGCCCUAUGGGGUGCAGCAGGCGAGAAAAUUUUCCAAUGCACGAAAGUGUGAGAAAGGAAUCGGAAGUGCUUUAACUUUUUGUUAAAGCUUUUCUUCUCUGUAAAAAGGAGGAGGAAUAAGGACUGGGCAAGACUGGUGCCAGCCGCCGCGGUAAUCCCAGCAGUUCGAGUGGUGGCCACAUUUAUUAGGUCUAAAAGAAUCGUAGCUGGCCGAGUAAGUUUCCUGUCAAAUCUUGUCUCUUAAGGGCAAGGCGUGCAGGGAGUACUGCUUGGCUAGGGACCGGGAGACGUAAGGAGUACGGUGAUGGUAGCGGUAAAAUGUUUUAAUCAUUACCGGACUAACAAUGGCGAAGGCACCUUACGAGAACGGAUCUGGCGGUGAGGAUUGAAGGCCAGGGGCGCGAACGGGAUUAGAUACCCCGGUAGUCCUGGCUGUAAACCUACUUACUAAACAUUAUGAUCUCCUCGAGAGAUUGUGGUGCUGAAGCGAAGGCGGAAGUAAGUUACCUGGGGAGUAUAGUCGCAAGGCCGAAACUUAAAGGAAUUGGCGGGGGGGUGUUACAAGGGGUGACGCGUGCGGUUCAAUUAGAUUCUACACCGUGAAUCUCACCAGGAGCGACAGCAGGAUGAAGGUCAGUCUGAAGGGCUUACCUGACACGCUGAGAGGAGAUGCAUGGCCGUCGUAAGCUUGUGUUGUGAAAUGCCCUGUUAAAUCAGGUAACAAGCGAGACCUGCAUGUGUAUUUGCUACUUGGAGAAAGAGAACAAUACACAGACUGCCUUAGUAAUAAGGAGGAGGGUGCAGGCAACGAUAGGUGAGUACGUCCCGAAUCCCCUGGGCUACACGCGCGCGGCAAUGGUAAGGGCAAUGAGACGCGACUUCGAAAGAAGAAGCAAAUCUCCUAAUCCUUAUCUUAGUCCAGAUUGAACGCUGUAACCUGCGUUCAUGACGCUGGAAUCCCUAGUAAUCGGGUGUUAUCAGCGCCCGGUGAAUACGUCAACAUUCCUUGCACACACCGCCCAUCAAACCAUCCGAGUUAUGUUUAGGCGAGAGUCGCAAGAAACAAGCUUAAAUGUAAUGGGGAAGGUUAAGUUGUCACAAGGUA